GAAAUGCGAUAAGUAAUGUGAAUUGCAGAAUUCAGUGAAUCAUCGAAUCUUUGAACGCACCUUGUGCUCCUUGGUAUUCCUUGGAGCAUGCCUAUUUGAGUAUCAUGAAAUCUUCAAAGUAAAUCUUUUGUUAACUCAAUUGGUUUCUACUUUGGUAUUGGAGGUCUUUGCAGCUUCACACCUGCUCCUCUUUGUUCAUUAGCUGGAUCUCAGUGUUAUGCUUGGUUCCACUCGGCGUGAUAAGUUAUCUAUCGCUGAGGACACUGUAAAAGGUGGCCAAGGUAAAUGCAGAUGAACCGCUUCUAAUAGUCCAUUGACUUGGACAAUACUUUUAUGAUCUGAUCUCAAAUCAGGUAGGACUACCCGCUGAACUUAAGC
RNAcentral lists this unclassified non-coding RNA (378 nucleotides) under plant metagenome. RNAcentral's name for it is "partial contains 5.8S ribosomal RNA, internal transcribed spacer 2, and large subunit ribosomal RNA". The stretch from base 1 to 105 matches the Rfam family "5.8S ribosomal RNA", at positions 50 to 154 of the family's 154-position model. The record is from RNAcentral.